Long non-coding RNA from Talpa occidentalis (Iberian mole), 3832 nucleotides. RefSeq lists it as uncharacterized. Lineage: Eukaryota; Metazoa; Chordata; Mammalia; Eulipotyphla; Talpidae. The record is from RefSeq and is a predicted model, not a curated record. The transcript is spliced from 3 exons.
AGUGGAGGACUUUCACUGUCUUCAUGGUGGGUGUGGUGUGGUAGUAUACCUUUGAAGGGUGUGAUCCUACACCUCUAAAUCAGAUACACUGUAGUUAACAAUGUCACUUCAAUUAAAAAUAAAUGAAUAAGUUACAAUAAUAUAUAUCAAAGAAGCCAGAGACUGAACAUUCUUUUGUUACUUAAUGGAUCUGUAGAAAGACUAAGCUUUCCCGCCAAAAAGACAAACUACUUUUAGCAGAGGAAUUUCCAAAAAUAGUACUUCCUCACUUUCUGGUAAAACUAUUCCUCAUUUUGUUUAGCUUUAUCUUAAUAUUUUUUGUCUAGUAUUGAACCCAGGCCCCCUUUUGAAAUUUUUGCAAUGGUGCAUGUUUCCCAUUCUUCAAACAUCCCCUUUCUUCAAAUGUCCCCUUUCUUCAAAAAAAGAUUUCCCUGGCUGGAUCUGACCCUCAUAUAUUUGUAAAAAGUGGACACCAAUGACCCAAACUGCCCCUUGGAGGUUUUAGUCUUUGCUAUGGGCCAAUUCCUCCCUUCUUUUAAUAACUCUGCUUCCUCUUUGUUUUCUGCCAGCCUUUUCAUUCUUGUGGUAGAAAGCAGCUCUAGCUAAGCACAGCUUGCUGGGUGUGGUCCUACUGUAUUUCCCUCAUCUGGACAGCCAUGAUUCUUCUCUGCCUCGUUGGGAUUCUCUGACUCUAGCUGGUCUGUGAUUUUACUCCUGGAGGCACCACCUUAAUUCCUAGCACCAACUAUGGCUAGUUUUAGUAACUUUGCCACAGGUUAUAAGUUUAUACACUCCAAAUCAGGUGUGAGCACUAAAAAAUCCAACUUCACCUAUUAGGAUGGCUACAUAAUUUUAAAAAGAAAAAUAACAAGUGUCACUGAAGAUGUGAAGAAAUUGGAACACUCACAUAUUGCUGGUGGGAAUAUAAAAUGGUGAAACUUUUAUGAAAAACAAUAUGGUAGGGCCUCAAAAAAUUAAAAAUAGAACUAACAUAUGGUCCAGCAAGUCCAGUUGAGGUAUAGAAUUAAAAGAUAUUUAUCUAGCCAUUUCCUUAGCAACAUUAUUCACAGUAGCAAAAAGGUGACAGCAACCCAAAUGUGGUAUAUCCAUAUAACGGAGCAUUAGCCUUAAAAAGGAAGGAAAUUCUAACAGAUGCGACAGCUUGAAUUAAAUUUAAAGACAAUAUGCCAGCUGAAAAAAAGCCAGUCACAAAAAGACAAAUAAUGUAUGAAUCUAACUAUAUAAGGUCUCUAGAAGAGUCAAAUAUAUAGGAACAGAAAGUAAAAUGAUGGUUGCCAGGGGCUGGGAGGAGGAGCCAGUUUAAAUGGGUAUAGAGUUUUAGUUAUGCAGAAUGAAAAGAGUUCUGGAGAUGGUUGCACAGCCAUGUGGAUGUAAUUACUAUUACUGAACUGUACACUUACAAUGGUAAAUUAUAUGUUAUGUAUUUUACCCUAAUAAAAAAUUUAAUUAAACAAAUAAACUAAAGAAGAAGCAUUGAAACUGGGAUCUGAACUCCAGUCAUCUAAUGAAUGACAGUACAGCUCUUAACACUGGGCUGUGUUAGUCCUUCUGGUCUCGGACUCAUGUGCCUAGGAAGGCAGUUUAUCUGUCACCCACCCUUGCCAGAGCAUGCUCUUGGAAGGCUCAUUCCCCAACCCCAGCAGCUCGUCAAUGGAUUACUCCUUAUAUGUAAAUUCAGCACAUCUUUCUUUGCCCACCCAGGCCCAGAGUGCUCUGGUAUACCCAUUUCUCUCUGUUCCCUCCUGGUUCUGUUGUCAGCAGCCAGCUGGCUGGGCCACCCUCAAUUAGAUUUAACAAAAGUAGCAUGUUCUCUAACACCUACUGAAAUUGGAGCCUUGUGUGUGACUAACAUAGAGUCCUGGUACCUACACCACUGCAUUCACACUUAAUUGUGCAUCUGUUUUGUGCCUUCAUGCCAGUUAAGCUCUGCUGAGAUUUUUAUCCAUAUCUGAGGGACUUUUGUUCCACAUCUCUGCUCACAAAAGCUUGUCUCGCUUGGACAAAGGAUGCUCUGGUCAUUCUUUCACCUUAUACACUACCUAAAGGCAGGGCCUUUUCUCGUAUAUCACACAAUAUUGCUACCAUGUUUAUAUAUAUAACCAGCAUUUCAAAAAGAACAAUUUAAAGGGACUUCCAAACUUCACAAAAGUAGAGAGAACGUAUAAUAAAUACCCAUGUACUCUGUAUUCACAUUUUGCCAUUCUUGCUACUUAUAAGCAUUUAAUAACCAUGUAGUGCGAUGAUAACAUUAAAUGGAUGUAGUUUAAAAAAAUGAGAAUUUUAAAUUAGGAUGAUCUUCUUGGUAGGUACACUCAGUUUCUUAAUAGGUACUGGUGUGACAUACAUUAUUUCUGCAUAGUUAAGCCAGAUUUUACUUUUCUGAGAUUAUUUGUACCUAAUUCUGACUAAUGGCAGUGUAGAAGGAAGCUGAAUUACCCCUUUCUGUAUUUUCCUAUUGUAGAAGUCCAGAAUGCAUCAGGGUCUUGGUUUGUAAGUAACAGAAACAGAGUCCAGUUGACUUAAACCAAAUAAUCUAUUGGAAGGAUUUGGAGAAGCUCAUAGGAUCCAAGGAAAAAGAGAAGUACCUUGUAAAGGACGGUCUCCAGAACUCCAGAGCACAGGAACAAAUGCACAGUCUAGACAGGGUACCAGGGUUGCUGCUGUUGAGAUGAAUCCUCUGCUCCAGUCAGUCCUGGCACAUUUGAAUUCCCAAGAGAGAAUGUUUAGUUUUUUCUUGCCUGGCUCAGACACCCAUGCUCACGUCAGCCAAUCACUAUGACUCUGAUCUGGCUGGUUCACCCAAGAAGAAUCUCAUACUGUUGUCAAAAAGAUUAAAGGGGGGACCACAAGUAAGCAUAUUGAGCAUAUAAUAAAAAAAAUCAAUCACUUCAGUUGUUUCUAUUUCUGGCAAUGGAGCCAGAAUUCCAGAGAUGAGGGAUGUUCCCAACAUUUUCUUACUCUUUCUUCCUUGAGGCAUUUCUUGAUUCAAAAUAGUACAAAGCCAAUUCUAAAAUUAUGUGGAAACAUAGAAGGCCAGGGAUUGUCAUGGUCAUUUUGAGGAAGAGCAAAGGUAAGGACUUAUGUUAUUGGAUAUCAAAGCCUAUUAUAAAACUAUAGCACUUAAAACAGUGUGGUAUUGACAUAGUGAUACACAAACUGAUCAGUGGAAAAAUAUGUCUAAUCCAGAAACAGCCACACAUAUCAUUAACUGAUUUAUGACAAAAACCCCACAUAGUAGUGCAGUAAGGAAAGAAAUAAUUACCUUUUUAAUAAAUUAUAGUGGAUCAAUUAGCUAUCUACAUAGGAAGAGUAUAUCUUUACUUCUACUUUACCAACACAAAAAUCAAAUUCAAGUGGAUUGUACAUCUAAAGCAAUAAGGCUUUUAUAGGAAAAUAUAAGAGGAUAUCUUUAUGACUGUGAAGUACACACAGUAAAAAACAAUAACCAUAAAAGAAAGUAAUUGAGAAAGUUUAUUAUAUUAAAAUAUCAAACUUCAUCUCAUCAAAGACAGUAUUAAGAAAGUGACAAUACAUGAAAGUGGAGAAAGUUAAGUGUAAUAUAUUAAGCUAACUGACUUUUAUUGCAGACUAAGUGAAGAUCUCCAAACCAAUGAUAAAAAGCCAAACAACUCAGUGGAAAAAAGAGCAAGAAACACUUGAAAAGACAGCCGUAAAAAGUGAUAUCUGAUGGCCAAUAAACAUAUGAAAAGAUACUCAACUUCAUUAGUCAUUGUAGAAUUGCUUAUGAAAACCACAAUGAGGGGCCUCCCUGGUGGCUCAACGGGUUAAUACGCAGCACUAUGAAGCAAUC